Long non-coding RNA from Mangifera indica (mango), 1668 nucleotides. RefSeq lists it as uncharacterized. The transcript has 2 exons. NCBI's taxonomy places the organism in Eukaryota, Viridiplantae, Streptophyta, Magnoliopsida, Sapindales, Anacardiaceae. The record is from RefSeq and is a predicted model, not a curated record.
CAUAACUGUAUACACCGAUUAUUUCCUCCCUGAAUUACAGCUCCCUUCUUGGACACUAAUGCUGACUCAACAUUAAAUUGUGUCACAGAGUGUAUCAAUCAUCUCCUCCUUGAGCCAUAACUUCACCUCUCAAUUAACAGUUUUUUACUUUUUCUGUUUUUCUGGAACCAUCAACUUCUUUCUUAUUAUCCAACCCAAUAUUCAGUUUGACCUCAACACUGAAAUCCUGAUUGUAGAUAUCGGUAACCUGAAACUCUGUAGGUACAUGCGGUACCCAAAGAAUUUUUUAUGCUACCUGUUCUCUUAUGAAAUGAGCAUCGAUUUUUAUAUGUUUUAUUCUAUAGUGAAAAACAACAUCUGAAGCUAGUGCUCAUGUACUCAAAUUAUCACACCAUAUCACAACUGGACUAUUAUAAGGAGCUUGUAUCUCUCUGAUAGACCCCCAAUUAUCAAGAGUUAUCAGAUGCCACCAGCUGUGAUAGCAACAGUGAAAGAUAAACAUUAUCAAAAUAAUUCCAUGAAGCAGGGUGAAACACUGCAAGAGAGUCAGGAUAAGGAUAAAUCAAAAGAGGGAGAUAAUGAUAACCCAAAGAAAGAAGAUAGGACCCAUCCAGCAGCCAAUUCAACUAUAAAAGGGCGGCAGAGCAAUGUAGAAGGGGCAUCAGGGAAAUAUACAGGUUAUUAGGUGGGAUUCGGGGGCUUAGGGCUAUGGACCUUUGGGUGCUGUGCAUUGCAGCUCCGGGGUAUUGGUUUAUUCUUUAGCUAUUCAAUAAAACAGCACGGUUGAAGCAGAGGUGAGAGCAGGUUCAGAGCAGCUCCUGCAGAAACACCAUCACAGGUCAGGUACUCAUUAAAGUGGUAUCAGAGCGAGAAGUAAAAGGUCAGUACAAGGAUGGAACCAAAAGUUGACCUGCUGGAGAAAGAAGUAACAGAAAUGGGAGCGGUCAGAGAAGAAUUAAAGGGCAUCCAAAUUGAGCUAAGGGAGGCACGAUCUGUGAGAAAGGAGGUGACCGAAAUCAAGAAAAUAUUAGCAAUGGUUUGUCAAAAGGAAAUAAAGGGCAAAGCCAUUGCCGAUCAGUCAGAAGUCCAAGAGGACAUUGGAAACUCGGGAAGCAACAAAUUAUCAGAUGAAGAAAAGAACGAUAGUAGAAAGGAACCGAAACCAAUGCACCUGCGAGGAGGAGAAGUCAUUGGGGGCAGAGGUUGUGAUGUCUAUACAUGACGAAUUGAGAUACCAAUAUUUGGCGGCGAAGAUCCGGUCGGAUGGAUUUUUAGGGCAGGCAAAUACUUCUCCGUCAAUCGCGUCAGAGCAGAAGACAAAGUCCCAGCAGCCGGCGUGUGUAUGGAAGGACCAGCACGGACAUGGCUUCAAUGGGAACAGACCAGGGGAUCGUUCGGUAGCUAGGAGGAGUUUAAAGAAGCACUGAUUGAAAGGUUCCGACUGACUUAGGAUGGCACAACGUAUGAGGAACUCCUUUUUCCCUGGCAGCAUGGUUCCGUUGGCGACUACAGAUUCCACUUUGAAAAAUUGUCGGCCUCUCUUCUGGAUCUCUCAGAUGGAGCCUUGAAAGAUGCCUUCGUUUCUGGGUUAAAAGAAGAAGGGAAAUUUUAAAAAUUAGGCAAAAUUAAAGGGGUUUAAGCGAAAUUACCCAAAAAAUUCAGGUUUAA